Molecule: ribosomal RNA, 628 nt
Filed under: uncultured Sphingomonas sp.
Lineage: Bacteria; Pseudomonadati; Pseudomonadota; Alphaproteobacteria; Sphingomonadales; Sphingomonadaceae
Description: bacterial SSU rRNA
Rfam family: Bacterial small subunit ribosomal RNA
Source: RNAcentral
GGCCUUAGUGGCGCACGGGUGCGUAGCGCGUGGGAAUCUAGCCCCUUGGUUCGGAAUAACAGUUGGAAACGACUGCUAAUACCGGAUGAUGACGUAAGUCCAAAGAUUUAUCGCCGAGGGAUGAGCCCGCGUAGGAUUAGGUAGUUGGUGUGGUAAAGGCGCACCAAGCCGACGAUCCUUAGCUGGUCUGAGAGGAUGAUCAGCCACACUGGGACUGAGACACGGCCCAGACUCCUACGGGAGGCAGCAGUGGGGAAUAUUGGACAAUGGGCGAAAGCCUGAUCCAGCAAUGCCGCGUGAGUGAUGAAGGCCUUAGGGUUGUAAAGCUCUUUUACCCGGGAUGAUAAUGACAGUACCGGGAGAAUAAGCUCCGGCUAACUCCGUGCCAGCAGCCGCGGUAAUACGGAGGGAGCUAGCGUUAUUCGGAAUUACUGGGCGUAAAGCGCACGUAGGCGGCUUUGUAAGUAAGAGGUGAAAGCCCAGAGCUCAACUCUGGAAUUGCCUUUUAGACUGCAUCGCUUGAAUCAUGGAGAGGUCAGUGGAAUUCCGAGUGUAGAGGUGAGAUUCGUAGAUAUUCGGAAGAACACCAGUGGCGAAGGCGGCUGACUGGACAUGUAUUGACGCUGAG